This 739-nucleotide ribosomal RNA is filed under the name uncultured bacterium. Its description in RNAcentral is "bacterial SSU rRNA". It matches the Rfam family "Bacterial small subunit ribosomal RNA", at positions 8 to 713 of the family's 1533-position model. The record is from RNAcentral.
AGAGUUUGAUCCUGGCUCAGGACAAACGCUGGCGGCAUGCCUAACACAUGCAAGUCGAACGGACGGAGAAAGAUGGAGACUUCGGUCAAAGUUUUUCCGAGUUAGUGGCGGAUGGGUGAGUAACGCGUGGAUAACCUACCUUUCAGCGGGGAAUAACCGUGAGAAAUCACAGCUAAUACCGCAUACGAUUACCGAAUCGCAUGAUAUGGUAAAGAAAGACGGCCUUAGUGCUGUCACUGAAAGAUGGAUCCGCGUCUGAUUAGCCAGUUGGUGAGGUAACGGCUCACCAAAGCAACGAUCAGUAGCCGGCCUGAGAGGGUGAACGGCCACAUUGGGACUGAGAAACGGCCCAAACUCCUACGGGAGGCAGCAGUGGGGAAUCUUCCGCAAUGGGCGCAAGCCUGACGGAGCAAUGCCGCGUGAGUGAAGACGGCCUUCGGGUUGUAAAACUCUGUCCUUAUUGAAGAGAGCUUGAGGUAGUAACUGACCUUAAGAGGACGGUAAAUAAGGAGGAAGCCCCGGCUAACUAUGUGCCAGCAGCCGCGGUAAAACAUAGGGGGCAAGCGUUGUCCGGAAUUACUGGGCGUAAAGGGCGCGUAGGCGGCCUGUUAAGUCAGAUGUGAAAUUUAGGGGCUCAACCCCUAGCGUGCAUCUGAAACUGGCAAGCUAGAGUAUGGAAGAGGUAAGUGGAAUUCCUAGUGUAGCGGUGAAAUGCGUAGAUAUUAGGAGGAACACCAGU